GCCUCUUUGUUCGCACCCUAAGAGGCCUCCCCGCUUUGACCUUCAGGGACCUCUUCCCUCAGAGCCUGAGUGGCCUCGCCGCUCCGACCCUGCUACUGCUGGUGGUGAGGUUCAGCCCUUGUGAGCAACCUGAGGGAGAAAGACUGAUGUUGAGAGCCCCCUGCUCAUGUCCCAGGCCCUAACACAACAUCCCACUGAACUGGAACCAAGAAGCCCACGGACUCCGCACCUGCUAUGUGCCUGCUUCUCAGGCUUACCUGCCAACAGCGGACCCCAUCUUCCUCAGCCUCCCAGCCAAGAACCACCUCAGAGGAACCUGCACAGCCUCUUCCUCAAAACCAGCAGGCGAGGCCCAGGAGCAGGAAGGGACUGUUUGCCAGGCUCGUCAGUCCCUCAUAAGGACACCCCCACUUUGUCUUUGUGUGCCUGUCCAGCCCUGCAACAUGCACCUGACUUUCCUAUUAUUAAGGAUAAUCCUCUUUAGCUCUUUCUUGGUUUCCAACAGCAAAAUCAAAUGAAAUUCAAGAAGUGGCAUUUUAGGCCAGAGGCUAGCCUAAAAACUGCACAUCUUCAUCAUUAACAAAAGAAAUCUAAAAAAAGAGAUGAAAUGUCACUGCUUUUUUGCAGCUGUGGAGAGAGGAGCAUGGUUUUGCAUCCAUAAAACUACUUAGAAGAACCUGAUUUCAUAAGGUCUUAAAUUAAGAACUCUCACAAGAAAUGCCAUCUUUAUGCAAUAUGGAUGUGUGAAUAUUCAUGACAGUAACCAAAUGGGAACAUCCGCUGUGAAAACAAAUCUGUCUUUUGAAGAGUUCUGAACAAAGGAGUCUGAUAAGACUCCCAAGCCUUUAGAAUUUAUUGCCUUGAACUGUGAAAAUAACCUCCAACCCUGUCCCUCCAUAGUUCUGAUCUGUUGUCUUACUAGAUCCUUUAUUUCACUGGUUGUAAUGUUGUAAUAGAUGUCUCCCAUCAGUGUAUUCCCAAGAGAUAAUAUACCUGUAAAAAUUUCUCUGUCAAUUGGAAAAUAAUCAUUGGCACUUUCCUCCUCUCUCCUGUGCAUGAUGUCACAAUUAAAAGCUUAUGAUCCCACAUGCCACAGAGCAACUAAGCCCAAGCGUCACAACUACUGAGCCUGCGCUCUAGAGCCCGCGAGCCACAACUGUUGAGCCUGAGUGCCACAAUUACUGAAGCCCGUGUGCGCCUAGAGUCCGUGCUCUGCAACAAGAGAAGCCACCGCACCGAGAAGCCCUGCACACCACAAGGAAGAGUAGAAGAGUAGCCCCUGCUCACCGCAACAAGAGAAAGCCCUUGUGCAGCAAAAAAGGCCCAACACAGCCAAUAAAUAAAAAUAAAUUUUUUUAAA
Hippopotamus amphibius kiboko is the source of this 1360-nucleotide long non-coding RNA. RefSeq lists it as uncharacterized. The transcript is spliced from 3 exons. Lineage: Eukaryota; Metazoa; Chordata; Mammalia; Artiodactyla; Hippopotamidae. The record is from RefSeq and is a predicted model, not a curated record.